UUCUAUGAGUAGGGGGGUUGAUCUUGAGAAAGAGGAAUUCAAAACCCUACACAAUCCUGACACCUUCAACAAUCAUUCACUGCACCGUGUGGGAUAUAGGAAAGUAAAUGAUCAUUGGACAUUAAGGGGACAGCAGGUAGCAGAGCAAGAGAGGAUGAGGUUGGUCCAUCAGAGCCUGCCAUACUCAUCGAGCCAACUACGGAGCCUGAGAUAGCCAGAAGCACAGAGGCAGCACUUAAGCAACAUCAGACUGGACCCUCGUUUCAGAUGCCAUGCCUAGAGUACAUAAGACUAGAUGAGGGUCAGCUAUGAUCAGUGGUUGAACAAGUAAUUUUUGGAUUAAUUAUAGCUGGUACCUUCAAACAGGGGAGAGUAGUAGAGCGACAUUUCUGGCUCCCCCUUGAGCAUCAGGUGGACUUACCCUGCGCUUCACAACCUUGUACAGGAUGAUUUUAAAUUGUGGCAUGAGAUCGCCAACAUCCAUAUUUUGAUAUCUCACAUGCUACAGAGGAGCAGAGACAUUGAGGAUGAGCUCAGAGCUGUCAGGCAGACAUAAGAGCAAGCAAUUCCAAUCAUUCCCCCUCUUCAAACUAGGGCUUCUCCUUCCAGACCUUCUGCUUCUAGACCCUCCUCUUCUAGACCAUUUGCCACCGGGCACCCUACUCGACAUCGUAGAUCCCUGAGUCCUCCCAUUGUUUUUGUCAAUCAAUCAUCUGACUGUAACUAGAACUCUUCCUACCUACCUUUACGAUGCUAGACCUACACUUCUUGUACUUAAAUAUUCUCUAAGCAUCACUUUCUGCUCUUAGGUUUAGUUCCUCACAGGAUCUUUUGACUUUAUUUUGUGUUCCUAUGUCUUGAUCUAUGUAAAGUUGACUUUUAAUGCACUGAAGCUGUCUUACUCUUCAAUGAAUGUGUCUUUCAAUCUGUAUUUUACGGAUGU
RNAcentral lists this long non-coding RNA (943 nucleotides) under Elaeis guineensis (African oil palm). RNAcentral describes it as "long non-coding RNA (EGUI_LNC065940)". Lineage: Eukaryota; Viridiplantae; Streptophyta; Magnoliopsida; Arecales; Arecaceae. The record is from RNAcentral.